Molecule: ribosomal RNA, 274 nt
Filed under: uncultured bacterium
Lineage: Bacteria
Description: partial 16S ribosomal RNA
Rfam family: Bacterial small subunit ribosomal RNA
Source: RNAcentral
AUACGGAGGGUGCAAGCGUUACUCGGAAUCACUGGGCGUAAAGGACGCGUAGGCGGGUUGGCAAGUCAGAUGUGAAAUCCUACAGCUUAACUGUAGAACUGCAUUUGAAACUGCUAACCUAGAGUAUGGGAGGGGGAGAUGGAAUUAGUGGUGUAGGGGUAAAAUCCGUAGAUAUCACUAGGAAUACCGAAAGCGAAGGCGAUCUCCUGGAACAUAACUGAUGCUAAGGCGUGAAAGCGUGGGGAGCAAACAGGAUUAGAUACCCUAGUAGUCC